Molecule: ribosomal RNA, 1372 nt
Filed under: uncultured bacterium
Lineage: Bacteria
Description: bacterial SSU rRNA
Rfam family: Bacterial small subunit ribosomal RNA
Source: RNAcentral
GAUGAACGCUGGCGGCGUGCCUAAUACAUGCAAGUCGAGCGAACGGACGAGAAGCUUGCUUCUCUGAUGUUAGCGGCGGACGGGUGAGUAACACGUGGAUAACCUACCUAUAAGACUGGGAUAACUUCGGGAAACCGGAGCUAAUACCGGAUAAUAUUUUGAACCGCAUGGUUCAAAAGUGAAAGACGGUCUUGCUGUCACUUAUAGAUGGAUCCGCGCUGCAUUAGCUAGUUGGUAAGGUAACGGCUUACCAAGGCAACGAUGCAUAGCCGACCUGAGAGGGUGAUCGGCCACACUGGAACUGAGACACGGUCCAGACUCCUACGGGAGGCAGCAGUAGGGAAUCUUCUGCAAUGGGCGAAAGCCUGACGGAGCAACGCCGCGUGAGUGAUGAAGGUCUUCGGAUCGUAAAACUCUGUUAUUAGGGAAGAACAUAUGUGUAAGUAACUGUGCACAUCUUGACGGUACCUAAUCAGAAAGCCACGGCUAACUACGUGCCAGCAGCCGCGGUAAUACGUAGGUGGCAAGCGUUAUCCGGAAUUAUUGGGCGUAAAGCGCGCGUAGGCGGUUUUUUAAGUCUGAUGUGAAAGCCCACGGCUCAACCGUGGAGGGUCAUUGGAAACUGGAAAACUUGAGUGCAGAAGAGGAAAGUGGAAUUCCAUGUGUAGCGGUGAAAUGCGCAGAGAUAUGGAGGAACACCAGUGGCGAAGGCGACUUUCUGGUCUGUAACUGACGCUGAUGUGCGAAAGCGUGGGGAUCAAACAGGAUUAGAUACCCUGGUAGUCCACGCCGUAAACGAUGAGUGCUAAGUGUUAGGGGGUUUCCGCCCCUUAGUGCUGCAGCUAACGCAUUAAGCACUCCGCCUGGGGAGUACGACCGCAAGGUUGAAACUCAAAGGAAUUGACGGGGACCCGCACAAGCGGUGGAGCAUGUGGUUUAAUUCGAAGCAACGCGAAGAACCUUACCAAAUCUUGACAUCCUUUGACAACUCUAGAGAUAGAGCCUUCCCCUUCGGGGGACAAAGUGACAGGUGGUGCAUGGUUGUCGUCAGCUCGUGUCGUGAGAUGUUGGGUUAAGUCCCGCAACGAGCGCAACCCUUAAGCUUAGUUGCCAUCAUUAAGUUGGGCACUCUAAGUUGACUGCCGGUGACAAACCGGAGGAAGGUGGGGAUGACGUCAAAUCAUCAUGCCCCUUAUGAUUUGGGCUACACACGUGCUACAAUGGACAAUACAAAGGGCAGCGAAACCGCGAGGUCAAGCAAAUCCCAUAAAGUUGUUCUCAGUUCGGAUUGUAGUCUGCAACUCGACUACAUGAAGCUGGAAUCGCUAGUAAUCGUAGAUCAGCAUGCUACGGUGAAUACGUUCCCGGGUCU